UGAUUGAAGUUGCUAGAAUGAGAGGGUUGAAAGUGCAAGGGUGAGUAAACGUGGUURAAAUGCGUMUUAGCAGGGGAUAACAUUUGGAAACAGAUGCUAAUACCGUAUAACAAUAGCAACCGCAUGGUUGCUACUUAAAAGAUGGUUCUGCUAUCACUAARAGAUGGUCCCGCGGUGCAUUARUUAGUUGGUGAGGUAAUGGCUCACCAAGACGAUGAUGCAUAGCCGAGUUGAGAGACUGAUCGGCCACAAUGGGACUGARACACGGSCCAUACUCCUACGGGAGGCAGCAGUAGGGAAUCUUCCACAAUGGGCGAAAGCCUGAUGGAGCAACGCCSCGUGUGUGAUGAARGGUUUCGGCUCGUAAAACAYUGUUGUAAGAGAAGAAUGACAUUGAGAGUAACUGUUCAAUGUGUGACGGUAUCUUACCAGAAAGGAACGGCUAAAUACKUGCCARCAGCCSCGGUAAUACGUAUGUUCCAAGCGUUAUCCGGAUUUAUUGGGCGUAAAGCGAGCGCAGACGGUUAUUUWAGUCUGAAGUGAAAGCCCUCASCUCAWCUGAGGAAWUGCUUUGGAAACUGGAUGACUUGAGUGCMSUAGAGGAAAGUGGAACUCCYUGUGUAGCGGWGARAAAAA
This 636-nucleotide ribosomal RNA is filed under the name Weissella cibaria. RNAcentral's name for it is "partial 16S ribosomal RNA". It matches the Rfam family "Bacterial small subunit ribosomal RNA", at positions 63 to 690 of the family's 1533-position model. The record is from RNAcentral. Lineage: Bacteria; Bacillati; Bacillota; Bacilli; Lactobacillales; Lactobacillaceae.